CCCAUUGAAGAUGAAGAAUUGGUCUCCUACAUCCUGGCCGGUCUUGACAUCGAGUUCAAUCCCCUGUGUCGGCCAUUGUUGCACGGGUCGAGCCAAUCACUGUGGGGGAACUAUUCUCUCAGCUUCUCAGCUUUGAGU
RNAcentral lists this small nucleolar RNA (138 nucleotides) under Setaria italica (foxtail millet). Its description in RNAcentral is "Small nucleolar RNA Z247". It matches the Rfam family "Small nucleolar RNA Z247". From Rfam's summary of the family: Z247 is a member of the C/D class of snoRNA which contain the C (UGAUGA) and D (CUGA) box motifs. Most of the members of the box C/D family function in directing site-specific 2'-O-methylation of substrate RNAs. Lineage: Eukaryota; Viridiplantae; Streptophyta; Magnoliopsida; Poales; Poaceae. RNAcentral also lists the same sequence under 1 other name. The record is from Rfam by way of RNAcentral.